Molecule: ribosomal RNA, 301 nt
Filed under: uncultured bacterium
Lineage: Bacteria
Description: partial 16S ribosomal RNA
Rfam family: Bacterial small subunit ribosomal RNA
Source: RNAcentral
CAGCAGCCACGGGAAUACGUAGGUGGCAAGCGUUGUCCGGAAUUAUUGGGCGUAAAGCGCGCGCAGGCGGAUCAGUUAGUCUGUCUUAAAAGUUCGGGGCUUAACCCCGUGAUGGGAUGGAAACUGCUGAUCUAGAGUAUCGGAGAGGAAAGUGGAAUUCCUAGUGUAGCGGUGAAAUGCGUAGAUAUUAGGAAGAACACCAGUGGCGAAGGCGACUUUCUGGACGAAAACUGACGCUGAGGCGCGAAAGCCAGGGGAGCGAACGGGAUUAGAUACCCCCGUAGUCCCUGUCUCUUAUACA